AAAAGCACACAAGUGAGCCCACAUCAGAUUAAACGCCACCCGGGACCCAGUUGGACAGGAUUGGGAUUGUUGGGAAUCAUGAGGAGCAGAAAUUCGUGACUCUCUACAGGCUCACUGAAAGCCUGCAGAACCCUAUCAAGGACCCCUGGGGAGGGGGACUCCACUUUGGGAUCCACUUCUUCUUCAAGCCACUGCUUCCAUAAAAUAAAAAAAUAGAGAUAAAAAGAAACUUCUGAAGCAGCUUCUGUCUUUGAAAGAAAGUCUGUUUUUAAGUCAGUGGAGUUUUGAACUGGGUCAUACUGUCAUUGGCUCCGGGUUUGGUCCUCUGUGUGGCCGAGAGCCCUCCUCUGUCCACUUAUGACUGAUGCUCCUGCAAACUGGGUUAGCUUACUAAAUAGUGCACAUACUGUAUACCUUUAUAGUUGGCUAUAUGUGAUAUAUUCUGAGCUCCUAGGUAAGAAAAUAUUUGGAAAAUCUGAGCAUUUGACAGAUCUGUCCUUAGGGUAGGACUGUUAGAAGUUGCAAUUCACUUAGUUAUUUAUUAAGUACAUUAAAAUAUGUAUAGUUUAGAUGAUGUGGCACUUGAAUAUUUCUAUUUUAAGAUACUGUGUUUCCACUACAUUUGUCUGACGGCAGAUUUAUGCUACUAAUGUGUAAAAAAAAGUGCUUCCAAAAUGUAAGAUUUUCAGGAACUGUGAUGGUCUUUUUUGGCACCAUCUAGAUUUGUAUUUAUAGACAUUGAAAAUGUUGAGAGUUUCUCUAGCUGUGGACGAGCAUGUCAGCUUCAAACAAGUCGCUUUUCGCUUCUAACAACUUCACACUACUUCCUCCUUUUGCUCGUGAAGGACAAGAGUCGUAAUUCCUACAGGCACUGGAGGUCAUUCUCACUUCAACGUAUAAACUGUGGUUUUAAAAAAAAAGGCAUUUGUUGAAAGCGAAUUCCCCACCGCUGGAGCUUAGUUCACUGGGACAGCAGUUUGACUUUCUACUUGAGAAAACCCUCAAUUAAAGAGAGUAUAGAAGAGCAUUUUAAUGCCGCUUGAUCAUUUAAAACACUGAGCCAAGGAUCAUUAAUGAUGUGAUACAAACUAGUGUCCCAGGAAUUGC
Molecule: long non-coding RNA, 1107 nt
Organism: Siniperca chuatsi (mandarin fish)
Lineage: Eukaryota; Metazoa; Chordata; Actinopteri; Centrarchiformes; Sinipercidae
Exons: 3
Source: RefSeq, a predicted model, not a curated record